RNAcentral lists this ribosomal RNA (467 nucleotides) under uncultured bacterium. RNAcentral describes it as "partial 16S ribosomal RNA". It matches the Rfam family "Bacterial small subunit ribosomal RNA", at positions 29 to 507 of the family's 1533-position model. The record is from RNAcentral.
ACGAACGCUGGCGGCGUGCUUAACACAUGCAAGUCGCACGGAAAGGCCCUGCUUUUGUGGGGUGCUCGAGUGGCGAACGGGUGAGUAACACGUGAGUAACCUGCCCUUGACUUUGGGAUAACUUCAGGAAACUGGGGCUAAUACCGGAUAGGAGCUCCUGCUGCAUGGUGGGGGUUGGAAAGUUUCGGCGGUUGGGGAUGGACUCGCGGCUUAUCGGCUUGUUGGUGGGGUAGUGGCUUACCAAGGCUUUGACGGGUAGCCGGCCUGAGAGGGUGACCGGCCACAUUGGGACUGAGAUACGGCCCAGACUCCUACGGGAGGCAGCAGUGGGGAAUAUUGCACAAUGGGCGGAAGCCUGAUGCAGCAACGCCGCGUGCGGGAUGACGGCCUUCGGGUUGUAAACCGCUUUCGCCUGUGACGAAGCGUGAGUGACGGUAAUGGGUAAAGAAGCACCGGCUAACUACGUG